UACAGAGGUCUCAAGCGUUGUUCGGAUUCAUUGGGCGUAAAGGGUGUGUAGGUGGCGCGGUAAGUCGGGUGUGAAAUUUCGGAGCUUAACUCCGAAACUGCAUUCGAUACUGCCGUGCUUGAGGACUGGAGAGGAGACUGGAAUUUACGGUGUAGCAGUGAAAUGCGUAGAUAUCGUAAGGAAGACCAGUGGCGAAGGCGGGUCUCUGGACAGUUCCUGACACUGAGGCACGAAGGCCAGGGAGCAAACGGG
RNAcentral lists this ribosomal RNA (252 nucleotides) under uncultured bacterium. RNAcentral describes it as "partial 16S ribosomal RNA". It matches the Rfam family "Bacterial small subunit ribosomal RNA", at positions 524 to 776 of the family's 1533-position model. The record is from RNAcentral.